GUCUAUGGCCAUACCACCCUGAAUGCGCCCAGAUCUCGUCUGAUCUCGGAAGCUAAGCAGGGUUGGGCCUGGUUACUACCUGGAAAGGAGAAAGUUACUGUAACUU
This is a ribosomal RNA of Dipodomys ordii (Ord's kangaroo rat), 106 nucleotides long. The record is from Ensembl. Lineage: Eukaryota; Metazoa; Chordata; Mammalia; Rodentia; Heteromyidae.